GGGAAAGGGUCUGCACCAGAGGGUGGGCAUGGAACGGGCUGCCCAGGGCAGUGGGCAUGGCCCAAAGCUGCUGGAGUUCAAGGAGUGUUUGGACAACGCUCUCAGACACAGGGUUUGAUUUUGCGUUGUCCUGCGUGGAGCUGGAUUUCAUGACCCUACAGGGUCCCUUCCAACUUGGGAUAUUCUAUGAUACUAUGGUUUGUCUAAUUUUCCCAUCUGCUCUUCAGAUCCCUAUUAAGAAUAACAAACAAUCUUGUGGCUCACCUCCUGUAGGCACUGCUCUGCCAGGUUCAAACCGGACUAUCUCCUUGCUACCUUGGUUGGCACAGAAAUGUUGUAUGAAAGUUUGCUUUGCCUACUGUGUGCUUUCCUUAUUUGAGGCAAUGCAUUUCCACAAGACAUUGGAGGCACCAGUGCUGCUCCGCUGGGCAGAGGCCCAUCCUUUCAUGGCUGGCAGGAAUGACAAAAGAAGUGAGGAGUCCUUCCCCUUGUGAACACCAGGAGGUGGCGGCUGCUGAGAGGAAAGCCCAUUCAUGAUACUGAACCUGCUUCAGUAACUGAUACACGGGAUACUGAACCUGCUUCCACUGCUGUUCCACCUUCAUGACGUCAGCCCUGGGUCUGCCACGUUCUUCACCAAUGAAGCACAUCCUUACCGUGGUCCAAUGAAGCACAUCCUUACUGUGGUCCUGGAGGGAAGAGGG
Molecule: long non-coding RNA, 704 nt
Organism: Gallus gallus (chicken)
Lineage: Eukaryota; Metazoa; Chordata; Aves; Galliformes; Phasianidae
Source: Ensembl